Molecule: ribosomal RNA, 983 nt
Filed under: Bacillus altitudinis
Lineage: Bacteria; Bacillati; Bacillota; Bacilli; Caryophanales; Bacillaceae
Description: bacterial SSU rRNA
Rfam family: Bacterial small subunit ribosomal RNA
Source: RNAcentral
GGACCCGCGGCGCAUUAGCUAGUUGGUGAGGUAACGGCUCACCAAGGCGACGAUGCGUAGCCGACCUGAGAGGGUGAUCGGCCACACUGGGACUGAGACACGGCCCAGACUCCUACGGGAGGCAGCAGUAGGGAAUCUUCCGCAAUGGACGAAAGUCUGACGGAGCAACGCCGCGUGAGUGAUGAAGGUUUUCGGAUCGUAAAGCUCUGUUGUUAGGGAAGAACAAGUGCAAGAGUAACUGCUUGCACCUUGACGGUACCUAACCAGAAAGCCACGGCUAACUACGUGCCAGCAGCCGCGGUAAUACGUAGGUGGCAAGCGUUGUCCGGAAUUAUUGGGCGUAAAGGGCUCGCAGGCGGUUUCUUAAGUCUGAUGUGAAAGCCCCCGGCUCAACCGGGGAGGGUCAUUGGAAACUGGGAAACUUGAGUGCAGAAGAGGAGAGUGGAAUUCCACGUGUAGCGGUGAAAUGCGUAGAGAUGUGGAGGAACACCAGUGGCGAAGGCGACUCUCUGGUCUGUAACUGACGCUGAGGAGCGAAAGCGUGGGGGAGCGAACAGGAUUAGAUACCCUGGUAGUCCACGCCGUAAACGAUGAGUGCUAAGUGUUAGGGGGUUUCCGCCCCUUAGUGCUGCAGCUAACGCAUUAAGCACUCCGCCUGGGGAGUACGGUCGCAAGACUGAAACUCAAAGGAAUUGACGGGGGCCCGCACAAGCGGUGGAGCAUGUGGUUUAAUUCGAAGCAACGCGAAGAACCUUACCAGGUCUUGACAUCCUCUGACAACCCUAGAGAUAGGGCUUUCCCUUCGGGGACAGAGUGACAGGUGGUGCAUGGUUGUCGUCAGCUCGUGUCGUGAGAUGUUGGGUUAAGUCCCGCAACGAGCGCAACCCUUGAUCUUAGUUGCCAGCAUUCAGUUGGGCACUCUAAGGUGACUGCCGGUGACAAACCGGAGGAAGGUGGGGAUGACGUCAAAUCAUCAUGCCCCU